UACGUAGGGUGCAAGCGUUAAUCGGAAUUACUGGGCGUAAAGCGUGCGCAGGCGGUUUUGUAAGUCUGAUGUGAAAUCCCCGGGCUCAACCUGGGAAUUGCAUUGGAGACUGCAAGGCUUGAAUCUGGCAGAGGGGGGUAGAAUUCCACGUGUAGCAGUGAAAUGCGUAGAGAUUUGGAGGAAUACCAGUGGCGAAGGCGGCCCCCUGGCCCGAUAUUGACGCUGAGGUGCGAAAGCGUGGGGAGCAAACAGG
This 253-nucleotide ribosomal RNA is filed under the name uncultured bacterium. Its description in RNAcentral is "partial 16S ribosomal RNA". It matches the Rfam family "Bacterial small subunit ribosomal RNA", at positions 524 to 776 of the family's 1533-position model. The record is from RNAcentral.